CCGCACCUCCUCAAACGCUACCUCGACCAGCCUCCCUCCCGCAUUCAAAGCGGAGAGGUA
RNAcentral lists this unclassified non-coding RNA (60 nucleotides) under Escherichia coli K-12. Its description in RNAcentral is "RNA (60-MER) from Escherichia coli K-12 (PDB 6XAS, chain R)". The record is from RNAcentral. Lineage: Bacteria; Pseudomonadati; Pseudomonadota; Gammaproteobacteria; Enterobacterales; Enterobacteriaceae.